UACGAAGGGUGCAAGCGUUAAUCGGAAUUACUGGGCGUAAAGCGUGCGUAGGCGGUUUCUUAAGUCUGCUGUGAAAGCCCUGGGCUCAACCUGGGAAUGGCGGUGGAUACUGAGAAGCUGGAGUACGGUAGAGGAAGGUGGAAUUCCCGGUGUAGCGGUGAAAUGCGUAGAGAUCGGGAGGAACAUCAGUGGCGAAGGCGGCCUUCUGGACCAGUACUGACGCUGAGGCACGAAAGCGUGGGGAGCAAACAGG
Molecule: ribosomal RNA, 253 nt
Filed under: uncultured bacterium
Lineage: Bacteria
Description: partial 16S ribosomal RNA
Rfam family: Bacterial small subunit ribosomal RNA
Source: RNAcentral